CACCAUACUUAUAACCCGUAGGGAUGUGGGAGCAUAGGCCCCGAGAAGGGCACUGAGACAAGGGUCCUAGCGCUACGGCGUGCAGCAGGCGCGCAAACUCCACAAUGCGCGAAAGCGUGAGUGGGGGGAAUCUGAGUGGUUCACUUCGGUGAACCUUUUGCUAAGUAUAGCAAGCUUGGCGAAUAAGUGCUGGGCAAGACCGGUGGCAGCCGCCACGGUAAUACCGGCAGCACAAGUGGUGUCCACGAUUAUUGGGCUUAAAGCGCUCGUAGCGUGGCCCGUGCCGUCUUGCGUGAAAUAUUGGCGCUCAACGUCAAUGCGUGCGUGAGAUACCC
Molecule: ribosomal RNA, 335 nt
Filed under: uncultured archaeon
Lineage: Archaea
Description: bacterial SSU rRNA
Rfam family: Archaeal small subunit ribosomal RNA
Source: RNAcentral